RNAcentral lists this long non-coding RNA (1408 nucleotides) under Gadus morhua (Atlantic cod). Its description in RNAcentral is "lncRNA (ENSGMOG00000034759.1)". Lineage: Eukaryota; Metazoa; Chordata; Actinopteri; Gadiformes; Gadidae. The record is from RNAcentral.
GAGAUGAAAUGUGGUAGGUCUACAUGACUGUAGACAAAGGAAGGCCGGACAAGAUAUGAGAUGCAAGAGUAACUCCACUUGCCUCUUUCUCCCUCUUCUCUUUGUAAUCUUUCUAGGCCCGGCCUUAGGGUAAGACCGGACGAUGUCCAGGCUGAAUUCGAGGGCAUCUUCCUCAGGCCAGACAGCUUCGUCAGGCCCGGCAGCUCGUCCAGGUACAUCCAUCCCUGCCGAAGGACACAUUUAAAAAAUACACUUUUAAAUAAAAAAAUGUUUCUAUACCCACCCUUCUGAUCCUUGUUAAGUACCCUGAUGUGAGAGUUGUAGCCUGGUGGUCUAGCAGCUUCUCUGCCAUCCACUAACCUAUGGACUUUUUUUUAUGAACUUUGACUUAUGGGACUAAUUACUUAUGUAUUAUGAACUCUGUUUAAUCCUCUGUUGCUUCUGAUGAACUGUUCCUACCUGAAGUGGCACCUGGAAAAGCGCUGACCUCGUCACCUGAAGCCUGGGGAGGAGGACGGUCUGUGGAAUAGGAUCCGGUGAAGUCCUUUUCCUCAAACGCGGAGGGUUUAAAAGGCCAGAUCCCUGGACUAGAGAACCCGGAGGUGAUGCUCUUCACUGUUGCAGCCUCAGGUAAGGCUACAGCAACGAUGGAGGGCACAUCUUAAAUCGAGAUGUUAAUCCCUUGGUGGCUCCUCAACCACCUGUCCGCCGCACUGUUUACGUACCCCUUUAGGGGGCCGAAGACACUAAUGUCCAUUGGCUGCAACCUGCGGGUGCAGUGGGAGGGGACUCCUUGGACACGGGUGUGACUGGUGAAGUUGGCCAGGUACAGGAGGAAGUCUGGCUCCUUCAUCCAGCCAGUUGGGUUGGCGUUGCCAGCACAGCCAACGGGUCCACCCCUCAGGAAGUGGUCUUCGAACCGCUUACGGGGGGAGAUAAAGAAUGGCGGAACAAGGUCGCCCUGCGCAUUGCCUGCCAGGGCAACUGUGACCAGGGUCCCCCUCUCCGCUGAGGUCACUGACCCGAUCUGCUUCUGCCCCAUCUGGGCGACGACACGGUCUGGCACCUGGACAGUGGUGACCCCUGUAAAUAGUUGUCUGGACAACCGUUAGUGGCCUCUUGGCUAGUGGCCUCUGGACGCCGAAGGGGGAGGCUGCUACUGCGCUCCAUGAAGGAGGUGAACCAGUCCUUCCCCGUCAUGCUCUUCCUCGACCAGGAUGCAGGGAAUGGGCAGCUGAAAUGCACGGGAUCGUAAAAAGUUGAUGUACAUUUGUGUAUUUAUGUUUGUUAUUUGUUCAUAUUUAUUAAUUAAACUAUGAAACCGUCACCUUAUGGAACCGUCACCUUAUCGUGGUGGAGAGGUUUGCGUGUCCCUGUGAACCUGAGAGCUGUGUUGUUUGGAGCCUUG